Molecule: ribosomal RNA, 468 nt
Filed under: uncultured bacterium
Lineage: Bacteria
Description: partial 16S ribosomal RNA
Rfam family: Bacterial small subunit ribosomal RNA
Source: RNAcentral
GACGAACGCUGGCGGCGUGCUUAACACAUGCAAGUCGAACGGCAAGGCCCUGCUUUUGUGGGGUUCUCGAGUGGCGAACGGGUGCGUAACACGUGUGUAACCUGCUCUUGACUUUCGGAUAACUUCAGGAAACUGGGGCUAAUACCGUAUCGGAGCUCCUGCUGCAUUGUGGGGGUUGGAAAUUUUCGGCGGUUGGGGAUGGACUCGCGGCUUAUCAGCUUGCUGGUGGGGUAGUGGCUUACCAAGGCUUUGACGGGUAGCCGGCCUGAGAGGGUGAACGGGGACAUUGGGACUGAGAUACGGACCAGACUCCUACGGGAGGCAGCAGUGGGGAAUAUUGCACAAUGGGCGGAAGCCUGAUGCAGCAACGCCGCGUGCGGGAUGACGGCCUUCGGGUUGUAAACCGCUGUAGCCUGUGACGAAGCGUGAGUGACGGUAAUCGGUAAAGAAGCACCGGCUAACUACGUG